AAUGAACGCUGGCGGCAUGCCUAACACAUGCAAGUCGAACGAGACCUUCGGGUCUAGUGGCGCACGGGUGCGUAACGCGUGGGAAUCUGCCCUUGGGUUCGGAAUAACAGUUAGAAAUGACUGCUAAUACCGAAUGAUGUCGUAAGACCAAAGAUUUAUCGCCCAGGGAUGAGCCCGCGUAGGAUUAGCUAGUUGGUGGGGUAAAGGCCUACCAAGGCUACGAUCCUUAGCGGUCUGAGAGGAUGAUCAGCCACACUGGGACUGAGACACGGCCCAGACUCCUACGGGAGGCAGCAGUGGGGAAUAUUGGACAAUGGGCGAAAGCCUGAUCCAGCAAUGCCGCGUGAGUGAAGAAGGCCUUCGGUUGUAAG
This 371-nucleotide ribosomal RNA is filed under the name uncultured bacterium. RNAcentral describes it as "bacterial SSU rRNA". It matches the Rfam family "Bacterial small subunit ribosomal RNA", at positions 29 to 429 of the family's 1533-position model. The record is from RNAcentral.